Molecule: long non-coding RNA, 528 nt
Filed under: Pan troglodytes (chimpanzee)
Lineage: Eukaryota; Metazoa; Chordata; Mammalia; Primates; Hominidae
Description: long non-coding RNA NONPTRT016564
Source: RNAcentral
AAAAGAAGGUUGGAGUGCAGCUUGGAGGUUUAUCUAUACUGUUCACCUGUGACUAAGGAGUUGUUGUUAACGAGCCGGAAAUACAGAUUUUGGAAGAAACAAAUUAUAUCUAUUGAAAUCGAGACUCCUACCCAGAUAUCUUUAGUGGAUGAAGCAUCAGGAGAGGUUUUUAUUUCAGGGCAAUAAUGGAACUAUCUUGUACACAGGAGACUUCAGAUUGGUGCAAGGAGAAGCUGCUAGAAUGGAGCUUCUGUACUCCAGGGGCAGAGUCAAAGACAUCCAAAGUGUAUAUUUAGAUACUAUGUUGUGUGAUCCAAGAUUUUACCAAAUUCCAAGUCGGGAGGAGUGUUUAAGUGGAGUCUUAGAGCUGGUUCAAAGCUGGAUCACUCGGAGCCUGUACCGUGUUGUGUGGCUGAACUGCAAAGCGGCUUAUGGCUAUGGAUAUUUGUUCACCAACCUUAGUGAAGAAUUAGGAGUCCAGGCAAAAGAGGGUUGUAUCCAAACGAUACAGACCCACAGAGUCGAACA